Long non-coding RNA from Amblyraja radiata (thorny skate), 144 nucleotides. RefSeq lists it as uncharacterized. The record is from RefSeq and is a predicted model, not a curated record. The transcript is spliced from 3 exons. Lineage: Eukaryota; Metazoa; Chordata; Chondrichthyes; Rajiformes; Rajidae.
AGAUACUGCCUCACCUGCUGAGUUGCUCCAGCAUUUUUUGUACCCGCUGGCAGGCUUUCUUAGUUACUGUGUCUGUGUGCAGUGUCCAAGAGAGGUCCUCAGUGAUGUGCACACUGAGGAACUUGAAGCUGCUGACCCUUUCAA